GAUGAACGCUGGCGGCGUGCCUAAUACAUGCAAGUCGAGCGAACAGACGAGGAGCUUGCUCCUCUGACGUUAGCGGCGGGCGGGUGAGUAACACGUGGAUAACCUACCUAUAAGACUGGGAUAACUUCGGGAAACCGGAGCUAAUACCGGAUAAUAUAUUGAACCGCAUGGUUCAAUAGUGAAAGACGGUUUUGCUGUCACUUAUAGCUGGAUCCGCGCCGCAUUAGCUAGUUGGUAAGGUAACGGCUUACCAAGGCAACGAUGCGUAGCCGACCUGAGAGGGUGAUCGGCCACACUGGAACUGAGACACGGUCCAGACUCCUACGGGAGGCAGCAGUAGGGAAUCUUCCGCAAUGGGCGAAAGCCUGACGGAGCAACGCCGCGUGAGUGAUGAAGGUCUUCGGAUCGUAAAACUCUGUUAUUAGGGAAGAACAAAUGUGUAAGUAACUAUGCACGUCUUGACGGUACCUAAUCAGAAAGCCACGGCUAACUACGUG
Molecule: ribosomal RNA, 497 nt
Filed under: uncultured bacterium
Lineage: Bacteria
Description: partial 16S ribosomal RNA
Rfam family: Bacterial small subunit ribosomal RNA
Source: RNAcentral